UAUCAAGAUUGAUAGAUCCCAUCUUGAUGCGCAUUCUAUUCGUACAGUGGACUAACUGUUGCCAAUAUUCACUACAAGGGCUCAUUGAGAUCAUAUUUAUGUAUCAGUCAAACUUCAGCAGUUUCACUGUGAGCAGUCAUACCAUCGUAGAUCAAAGAACCAUUCAUACAACUAUAGCAUCAAGAUAAUCACUGACGAUCGAGUAGAAAUCUAAGUGAUCUCUCGUAUGGUCACGCUCAGUACUAGUUAUUCUCUAACAACAACCCAC
RNAcentral lists this long non-coding RNA (268 nucleotides) under Elaeis guineensis (African oil palm). RNAcentral's name for it is "long non-coding RNA (EGUI_LNC057972)". Lineage: Eukaryota; Viridiplantae; Streptophyta; Magnoliopsida; Arecales; Arecaceae. The record is from RNAcentral.